GAGCCAAGAAAUAGACCCAUAUAAAUAUAGUCCACUGAUAUUUGACAUAGGAGCAAAGGAAAUACAAUGGAACAAAGAUAGUCUUUUGAACAAAUAGUGCUGGAACAACUGGACAUCCACAUG
This is a non-coding RNA of Ceratotherium simum simum (southern white rhinoceros), 123 nucleotides long. NCBI's taxonomy places the organism in Eukaryota, Metazoa, Chordata, Mammalia, Perissodactyla, Rhinocerotidae. The record is from RefSeq and is a predicted model, not a curated record.